This is a long non-coding RNA of Peromyscus leucopus (white-footed mouse), 5547 nucleotides long. RefSeq lists it as uncharacterized. The record is from RefSeq and is a predicted model, not a curated record. Lineage: Eukaryota; Metazoa; Chordata; Mammalia; Rodentia; Cricetidae. The transcript is spliced from 2 exons.
UUAAAUUAUUUUAUUUUAUCUUUUUUUAAAAAAAUAUGUAUCGGUGUUUUUGCCUGCAAGUGUGUCUGUGUGGAGGUAUCAGAACUCCUAAAGUUGUAUUUACAGUGGUGAGCUGCCAUGUCGGGGCUGGGAAUUGAACCCAGGUCCGCCGGGGGGGGGGGGGGGCAGCCAGUGCUCUUAACCGCUGAGCCGUCUCUCCAGCCUAGUUUCUAAUUUUGCUCUUCAAUUAAAAUCUCAUCUUUUGAGAAGAGCACCUAUAGGUGGUCGUUUCUAUUUCUGCUUUUCCAGUGGCCACUGAAUUGUUCUCCAGUGAUGAGUGAGGUCUGCUGUAUGCAGAUGGAAACCCAAUUGCUAUGGCUCUUUGGCCAUUGGUUUGCUUACCCCUUUUAUCCCUGAAGCCUGGAUUGAGGGCUGAACAAACGAGGAGCCAAGCCACAGUCCCCACUUUUGAAUUCAGCCACCAGGAUUGUUGUAGCUGUCUCAAAUCAUGGAACAGUUUAUGGAAGUAGUAAAUGGGGACUCUAGUCAUAGGCCACACUCCAUUCCGAGAUGCUGUGGGUAUCAGGAGCUCUGUGACUUCAGGUGGGGGAAGAAAGCUGAGCCAUCAUUCCACCCAUGUCUUUAUGAUCGUAGUUCCAUUGUGUAAACGUUUCUGUCAGUGUCAGGAUGCUGUUGUUUCUGUUUUUCCUAAAACUGUCGACUCCAGUGAGCUGCCCACCCUGCAGAACUCUAGAAGGCGUUGUCACAUUGAUCAGUUUCCUCUUUGAGAAGAUGUAGACUCCACACGGUUUAAGGUGUAUCAUCUUAAGAGAGCUGGAAGGAAGUGUUUGAACUGGCAUACAUGUUUGUGGUUCUGGUAACCAAGGAAACGUGUUCCUAGAUACAAAGCCUCCUUUUUAAAAAAAAUGAUGGUACUGUUCUGGGAUUGUCUCAGAAUCACCCUCAGCAAGAUUCCAAAGGGAUUUGAAGUUAAACUAGGUCAUCUUCAGAAACUGAAUCAAGAGUUAGCAGAGCACAGGAGCAUCACCUUUUAAAACAUGCAUCAUUUAGAAGGGGUACCCAGUGCAUUGUGGACACAGUAUGCCACCCCUCAAUAGUCGGUGUCUUACUUGGACAGAUGUGUAAUGAAUCCCACCUAGAUUUAACUUUCCUGUACUCUUGCUUGAUUAUUUGCAUUAUUUUCAUUUUUUUGUUUGCCUCCUAUUCUCAGUCUUGAACUUUUCUCUACCGCUUUUAUAAUAGUCAUUAAAAUCAUAUAGUGAAAUUUCACUCAACAGCUACCAGUCCUUUGAGUAUAGAUUUUUGCUAACAGGUUUUUGGUGUACACCAAUGUAGAAACUGGACUUAGAAGAUGAUCUUGCUCCAACUUUUUUCUGUUUUCACAUUGUAUCUAAAUGGAACCCAGUACUCACACCUGCUAAGCACAUGUUCUCCCACCCAGCCACUCCCUCCAUGCAAGUCAGUCAAGCAGUGAGAAACCACGCCACUACCAAUAGUUAGAGGCAGAAGCUGUGUGUGAAUCUGACUCUACACACAUGAGCACAAGGCCCAGAAUGUUGGUACAGAGGUCCACCAUUGCCAGCACAUCACAGCAUCUCUUUAUGUUGCAGAGGGCUUCUGAGCACUUGGCAGCAGGAGAGAAAGAAAUCUCAGGUUCAUAAAUAAUAAAAGAUCAGGGCAUUCGUGGAUAUGAGCACCACGACUUAGAAAAUAUGUAGACAGGUCUUAGAAAUAUGUAGACAGGUCUAGUGUAGCCGAGCUUGGCAUGGAGAGGCAUUCAGUGAAUUGCAGCUGGCAUACAUACCUAAAGUUACUUAACUCUGGAAGGACUCUUGACAGGCAGCUGGUAGCAACCUCUUCUCUUAGACUUUAUUGUAAUAACCUGUAAACUGAAAUUGUGCGACGUUUUCCUAAGUGAUACACUUCAUAAUUAAAGUGGUUGAAGUGGGAAGAAGUGUUCAUAGAAUUUCCGCUUGAGAGCAAUUUUGACACCUGCUGCCUGGUUACCUAUUAAUUAAAUUAUAUACCUCAGGAUAAAAUUUCAGUUUAGUUAAAAGUUAAGUUCUUGUUCUCUGAAAGGCUCUGUGAAGCCUUUGAUGGAAUUUGAAACCAAGUUAUUAGAGAGUCAUGAAAAUUAGCAUAGACCCUGAAACUAAUUUUUAUUAUUCUGAAGCAGGGCUUCUCAAAGAGUGGUAUGUAUCUGUGUGGACACAGACUCUUGAGCUUUAUUCUAAAACUUGCAUUCAGUAGGUCCAGGGGAUCCUGAGAAUUUGAAGGUCUAGUAAGUUCAUUCAUGGGGGGGGGGGGGUUUCCUACAGCUAGUGAGUGCUUCAGGACUUGUGUUGAGGUGCCCUAUAUUAGAGAGAGCCUGAUUGUGUCUUCAGUUUAAUACAGGUAUUUAAUUAAUAAAAUAAAUAAUAAUAUUUAAGUUGGUGCUUUAUUUCAAUGUCAACUUAGUUGCUCUGCCAGCCACUUGAAGGCAUCUAGUCCAGGCAACAUGGUUGGUGGCUUGCUGGUAAAUGCUGGCCAGUUGACUUCAGGUUGCAGGGCAGCCAUGAUGUGUAGCACUGCUAGUUCCGUGGCAUCAGCUGUUCAGAGGUUCUCCUAGGGCCUCAGGCAGCUUAUACAUUUCUCUCAUGUCAAGCAGGCAGGCCUCUCUAGUAUACUCUGCUAUCACACAUGUAUGUGGAUUUCAAAGCACUUGUUGUUGAACAUGACCCUUAGCUGAGAUAGACCCUUAUCAUCCCUUCAAGGGUCAGGUGUGGAAAGGAUGGAAAAUAAAUCAUUGUUUAACUUCCAGGGAAAGCAUAGAGCUAUGCAGACAUGCUAAUUGCCCACCAAGAGGUUUUAUUUGCUCCAAAUGCUUUUUAGUUUUGAAGUAGUUGCUGACUUUAACUAGAGAUUUUUCACACAGGGAAAAACUAAAACAAACAAAACCUUGUAUCUUCCCCUGAAUGGCAGUUUAAAAGUGGAGGCAGUUCCAGCCCAGAUUCUCACUCAACACUAUUAGUUUGAGCUAACGAGGGGAUGUCUUCGCCCACACCUGUGCCCCCUGUGGCUGGGGCAGGCCAGGUCUAGCUUAUCACCUUCCAGCUUCUUCAGUUACACUCAAGACUGCCUCCCUCUGGCUGCAGGCUUGUCUGUUUCACUAGAGGCACACAUACCAGGAGCCUUGAAGCCCGUCUUCCUGCGGGUACAAGUGGGGAUGAGGGUGAUGGUGGACCUAGGCAUUUGAUCUCCUUGACUGACCCUUGACAAGCCAACAAGGUGAGAAGGCUGCCCAUUUGGCGUCUUCCUUCAGUGUUCUCUUUACUUGGUGGUGUGUGUGUGUGUGUGUGUGUGUGUGUGUGUGUGUGUGUGUGUGUGUGUGUGGCUUUCCUUACCCUUCUUCUUUGCUCCACUCUCCGUUUGUCCUCUCUGCAUCCUGUUCAAAAAGGAGUUGACACAGAACAGUGACAUUAGUCUUGCUCCACACUGGGGUAUCACUGUAAACCUUGGCACUGGGAGAGGCUGCCCUGGAAGGUGCUUCUAGCAAAAGAAGAAACUGAAGCCUGAGACGGGGCAGAGUGAGAAGGCAUGAGAUGUGAGCCAAGAGAGACCUUAAACAUUUCAUGAGGCUUGAGGGAGCUCGCACGAACCUUUUGUCAUGUUGCCCGUGAGAAUGGCGGUGCCUUCUGUCCGUGGUAACAGGAGCUGCUCAGCAGGUGUGAUAUCCCGGGCAAACACAUCCAUGAGGAUCUGGAUGCUAGUAUCAGGAGUCCGCUGCUCUGAAGUCUCUGCUUUGAAAUAGGCGAGUUGGAUUUCAGGAGGUCAGUGUGACACUUCCAGGUGCUAUUUAUGUUGGUUUUCUUGGUAGGCUGUCACAGUUGGAAAUCUUCCCAGCUGGCGGCCAAAGUGUUGUUCCUCAUUUGUUUUGAUGAGAUUUCGGGAAAGUUGAAGUGGAGGUGGGAGGUGUGGAAUAAGCCAAAAUAUCAGAGACUAUACUUGGACAUGUCCUGCCAGAUCUAAGUGCUGAGUCCUGUCUUUUCCUAAGCUAACAAAGACACUGGUGAACAAAAAUUGUUCUGUUACACGGUGUGAACAAACCCAUGACCUUGUAAUGGGCCACUUACUGGAGCCCAGUUUCUUUUCUGCCUCUUCCUUGACAAUCACAACACUUGCAGCCCAGGUAGCUGGAAUGUUGGUGUACACACAAAUACCACUUCCCAAUGGAGCAUCGUUAGCAAUGCCGAUAGCAGGGUCACCUAAUGACUCUUCACACUCUUUUCUUGACUGUUCUGUCAGGACCAUGGCAAGUUCUGUCUUGGAGCUUGAUUUUCAAAUGGGGGGUGGGAUGGGGCCCAGCACGGUUUUUGUUGUUUCUUCCAAGAUUCCAGGAAUCUGGGAAAUGUGAUCUGGCUACCAAGAAUUUUGUAUUCCUGGGACAUAUUGGUGAUUUAUUGGGACAGCAGAGAAGUAUGUUAGAAUCUAGUUGGUGAGGUUGCUUUCCAAAGCCAGGUUCGUGGGUGCGUGUGUGGUUGUGUGUGUGGGAGGUGUGGGUGUGGGUGUCUUUCACCAGGAGGACUUAGGCAUUUCUGAAGUCAAGAUUGCUUGUGGCUUCAUUCAGCUUCAGUCUUCCCUAAAAUGAUGUCACUUCCGUUCGCUUGCUGGGUUCCUCACCUCUUGGGUCCCCUCCACAUUAAUGCCUAUUUACCAUUUCCUUUGAAAUGCUCUAACAGGGUUAUCACUUGGAAUGUUUCCCCCUGACAUAUAGGUAAUAAAUAACAACAACGCACUUGCCGAGUGUUUGCUUGAUUUCAGGAACUCAGGGUUUUACACAUCAGCACCACCUUUUGUUCUUUUUGUUUGGGUUUGGUUUGGUGACUUGAGAUGUAGUCUGUCUGUCUCCCUACACAGCCCACACAGGCGCAUUGUUGUGUUCUUUCUGCCUCAGCCCCACUAGUGCGUGGAAUACCAGGCUAUGCCCUGCUCACCACGUUCAUUCUUAAGUGAGCUUGGUGGGAUUGUUAGUGUCUUUAUGUACAGGUAAGAAACUUUAAGCAGGAAUAAGUAAAACCAGAGCUGUUUUCUAUUUCCCAGAAUUUGUAUUUAUUAAGAAAAGAUUGCAACAACCUAGUCAAUAUGUGUGUCUGAUUACAGGCUUCCUUAUUGACACUGUAGGGUUUUGUGCAGCCUCAGGCAAGUGGCAUUCAAUAUCUUCACAUGUUGUUAACAUGGAAAGAGCUCCAUAUAUAUGAAGGGAAAACAGAUGAGUGUAUAUGCAGAAUAUAGUGUCCGUAGUUGUACAAGGGGUUGGAGAUUACUGUGAUUUCUAGAACAGUCCUGAGGAAAUUAGUGAUGUGCUUAUCUAUAGUGAAAGGAUAGUAAAGGUAGACACAGGAACAUAUAGAGGAGACUUUCCCCACGGUGUGUUGAUGUUUGUUCUGAACCACAUGGAUGUCCUAACUAUUCACAAUUCCAAAGAUAAAAUUUCUGCAGCACUGCCAUGGUGGAACAUGAAUGAAUAAGCUCUUCUUUGUAGUUUAGACAUUAGAAUGGCAGCUGCCC